UGGCCCCUUGGUCAAGUGGUUAAGACAUCGCCCUUUCACGGCGGUAUCACGGGUUCGAAUCCCGUAGGGGUCAUC
This 75-nucleotide transfer RNA is filed under the name Alloiococcus otitis. Its description in RNAcentral is "tRNA-Glu". It matches the Rfam family "tRNA". From Rfam's summary of the family: Transfer RNA (tRNA) molecules are approximately 80 nucleotides in length. The record is from RNAcentral. Lineage: Bacteria; Bacillati; Bacillota; Bacilli; Lactobacillales; Carnobacteriaceae.